Long non-coding RNA from Ctenocephalides felis (cat flea), 401 nucleotides. RefSeq lists it as uncharacterized. NCBI's taxonomy places the organism in Eukaryota, Metazoa, Arthropoda, Insecta, Siphonaptera, Pulicidae. The record is from RefSeq and is a predicted model, not a curated record. The transcript is spliced from 3 exons.
UAGUGCAUCGUGGACGCAGAAUUGAGUAUUUUAUCGUGUAUGUUUGAAAUGCAAGAUAUUUCAAUUAUUGAAACGUUAUUUAUUAAUUGCUUUUAUAUUUAGUGCGAAAUCAGUUGUAGAAAUUAGUUAAACAGUCAGCUGCAAAAGUAUUUAAUAUGAAUCCGGCAAAUAAGUCAUUUGCAGUAUAUAGGCCGUCUUCAAUGCAAAGUCUGUUUAUGUGUUGUGAUAAGUGAUUUAUCAUGCAAUAUUGAAAUUUCUAACGCACCAGUCAGAAAUAUAACCUCAAUUCAGUGAUAUAUGAAUAAAGAGAAAGAAAAUUACAGUGCUGAUAACCCCUACGAAAAUGGAUUUCAAACUAGGGAAAUUUGCUCCAAUAGAGAAGAUAAAUACAAAGUUAGAUA